UCCGGGCGAUGUCAUUUUAAGAACGUCACUUUGACUUCAGUGGAAGACGUCUUUAUGUCGUCCUGAUUGGUCAUUUCAGGUUAUAUCAUAUCUUUCAUACACAAUGGCGUCUUUUUUGUGGUCUUUAAAAUGACUUUCUUUUACCACAGUAAUCAAUCACGUGACUAAAAUAAGAUAUGCAAUUGGUGGUACAGAUGGCGCUGGCCCCACCAUCGCUACCGACCUAAGACCAGUAUUACGGGCAACCCGGUUUUGUAAUUGUUUGGUGUUGUAUUUCCUUUUGUGUUCGGUAUUUGUUUCACAUUUUGGAUAUUGAAAAUGCUUACCAUCUUAGAAAAUGGCCAAAUUGGAUCAAAUCAAGCAGCAGUCUUCAUAAGCUCCAUUUGUUAAAGAUGAUACAACUUUUGUUGGAAGGAAAGACUUGGUUGUGGAUAAGUUGUGGGAAAGGGUGAAGGAGACACAGAUAAUUGUUGCGGAUUGGUUUACAGCAAAUUAGUUAAGUGUCAAAAAUUCAAACAAAAAAUCAAAAUCUGUA
This is a long non-coding RNA of Anthonomus grandis grandis, 535 nucleotides long. RefSeq lists it as uncharacterized. Lineage: Eukaryota; Metazoa; Arthropoda; Insecta; Coleoptera; Curculionidae. The record is from RefSeq and is a predicted model, not a curated record. The transcript has 4 exons.